AGCAGCCGCGGUAAUUCCAGCUCCAAUAGCGUAUAUUAAAGUUGUUGCAGUUAAAAAGCUCGUAGUUGAAUUUCGGGGUUAGUAGGUCGGUCAUGCCUCAGGUAUGUACUGGUCUCACUGAUUCCUCCUUCCUGAUGAGCCGUAAUGCCAUUAAUUUGGUGUUGCGGGGAAUCUGGACUGUUACUUUGAAAAAAUUAGAGUGUUUAAAGCAGGCUAACGCUUGAAUACAUUAGCAUGGAAUAAUGGAAUAGGACGUUCGAUCCUAUUUUGUUGGUUUCUAGGAUUGACGUAAUGAUUAAUAGGGAUAGUUGGGGGCAUUAGUAUUCAAUUGUCAGAGGUGAAAUUCUUGGAUUUAUUGAAGACUAACUACUGCGAAAGCAUUUGCCAAGGAUGUUUUCAUUAAUCAAGAACGAAAGUUAGGGGGUCGAAGACGAUCAGAUACCGUCGUAGUCUUAACCAUAAACUAUGCCGACUAGGGAUCGGAUGAUGUUAAUUUUUUAAUGACUCAUUCGGCGCCUUA
RNAcentral lists this ribosomal RNA (520 nucleotides) under uncultured Glomus. RNAcentral describes it as "SSU rRNA". It matches the Rfam family "Eukaryotic small subunit ribosomal RNA", at positions 569 to 1090 of the family's 1831-position model. The record is from RNAcentral. Lineage: Eukaryota; Fungi; Glomeromycota; Glomeromycetes; Glomerales; Glomeraceae.